Long non-coding RNA from Brienomyrus brachyistius, 474 nucleotides. RefSeq lists it as uncharacterized. The transcript has 3 exons. The record is from RefSeq and is a predicted model, not a curated record. Lineage: Eukaryota; Metazoa; Chordata; Actinopteri; Osteoglossiformes; Mormyridae.
UUAUGGACAAUUUAUAGACUCCGGUAAUCGUAACUUCCCACAAUACAAAGAUGUUAUCUGUAGAUAUGCCUAAAAUGCUUUUAAUGUGAUUGUUACCAUCUGCUGAGAUAGAUUGAUGCUGAAUUGCUGGACACUGCAGGGCCCAACCUUAAAGUCCUGAGCACAAUGUCUGUGGGAUUCGAUCACAUCUCUCUGGACGAGAUAAAGAGGAGGGGAAUCCGUCUGGGUCACACGCCGGAUGUCCUGACUGAUGCGGUGGCAGAACUCACCAUAGCCCUGCUGCUGACCACCUCCCGGCGUCUUAUAGAGGCGACCCAUGAGGCCAAAACGUGGGUGACACUGCCUGUACUCCUUCCCUGCCCUUUCUUAAGUAACACAACCGGUAAUCCCAGUAAGGACGGCGUGUUGUCAUACUGGGCCCGUGUUUCUAGUUGUAUUGAUGAUCCCAGGCUGGAUCUCAAAGUCAUUCAUUGG